Molecule: ribosomal RNA, 484 nt
Filed under: uncultured bacterium
Lineage: Bacteria
Description: partial 16S ribosomal RNA
Rfam family: Bacterial small subunit ribosomal RNA
Source: RNAcentral
AUUGAACGCUGGCGGCAGGCCUAACACAUGCAAGUCGAGCGGAUGAAGGGAGCUUGCUCCUGGAUUCAGCGGCGGACGGGUGAGUAAUGCCUAGGAAUCUGCCUGGUAGUGGGGGAUAACGUCCGGAAACGGGCGCUAAUACCGCAUACGUCCUGAGGGAGAAAGUGGGGGAUCUUCGGACCUCACGCUAUCAGAUGAGCCUAGGUCGGAUUAGCUAGUUGGUGGGGUAAAGGCCUACCAAGGCGACGAUCCGUAACUGGUCUGAGAGGAUGAUCAGUCACACUGGAACUGAGACACGCUCCAGACUCCUACGGGAGGCAGCAGUGGGGAAUAUUGGACAAUGGGCGAAAGCUUGAUCCAGCCAUGCCGCGUGUGUGAAGAAGGUCUUCGGAUUGUAAAGCACUUUAAGUUGGGAGGAAGGGCAGUAAGUUAAUACCUUGCUGUUUUGACGUUACCAACAGAAUAAGCACCGGCUAACUUCGUG